This 468-nucleotide ribosomal RNA is filed under the name Aeromonas sobria. RNAcentral describes it as "partial 16S ribosomal RNA". It matches the Rfam family "Bacterial small subunit ribosomal RNA", at positions 579 to 1045 of the family's 1533-position model. Lineage: Bacteria; Pseudomonadati; Pseudomonadota; Gammaproteobacteria; Aeromonadales; Aeromonadaceae. The record is from RNAcentral.
UAGGANAAANUNANAUGUGAAAGCNCCGGGCUCAACCUNGNAAUUGCAUUUAAANCUGUUCAGCUAGAGUCUUGUAGAGGGGGGUAGAAUUCCAGGUGUAGCGGUGAAANGCGUAGAGAUCUGGAGGAAUACCGGUGGCGAAGGCGGCCCCCUGGACAAAGACUGACGCUCAGGUGCGAAAGCGUGGGGAGCAAACAGGAUUAGAUACCCUGGUAGUCCACGCCGUAAACGAUGUCGAUUUGGAGGCUGUGUCCUUGAGACGUGGCUUCCGGAGCUAACGCGUUAAAUCGACCGCCUGGGGAGUACGGCCGCAAGGUUAAAACUCAAAUGAAUUGACGGGGGCCCGCACAAGCGGUGGAGCAUGUGGUUUAAUUCGANGNNACGCGAAGAACCUUACCUGGCCUUGACAUGUNNNNNNNNNNGUAGAGAUACGGGAGUGCCUUCGGGANUCAGAACACAGGUGCUGCA